This 4301-nucleotide long non-coding RNA is filed under the name Coffea arabica (coffee). RNAcentral describes it as "long non-coding RNA (CARA_LNC003153)". The record is from RNAcentral. Lineage: Eukaryota; Viridiplantae; Streptophyta; Magnoliopsida; Gentianales; Rubiaceae.
UCUCAAAUCAAUUACAAUUACAAUAUCAGUCACAAAUAUUACAUCAAAUACUUAUCAAGUGAAUCGAAUUCAAUUUAUACAUGAGAUAUCCCUUCAGACAUUCUAAUAACUCAUUACACGCGCUUCCUUUGCCUCGAGCCCUGUGGAGGGGAAAUAAAUAUUUUUGGGGUGAGUUAGAAGUUCAGUGGGUAUCCAGUAAAAAUCAAUAAUCAAGUACAUUUCACAAUAAUGCAUUAGAUGAUGGCAUGACUCAGUAAUCAAAUGUAAGUUUAUUACUCUUAUGAGCCAGUGAAAUCCUCUUACUUAAAACUCCAACGCCCAAACAAAUCAAUUAACAAUCAAAUAGUAAUAGGGAGCCAUCGGUGCUCCAAAUAAACAGUGGUGGAGACGUUGAGUUUAAGCACAAGACUUCCCAAGAACUCAUUGGAGCCAAAUCAUUUCAUGAUACAUAUGCAGUCAUUCAUGAUAUGCAAUAGAGUAAGCAAUGCAAGAAAUAGUUUGGAAGUAAUUUUGAAAAUAGUUUUGGAAUCACUCACCAACCACAGCUCAUGAACCUCGUCCAUCACAGACAUUGCCUUGUUCAAGUCCAAGCCUUUCAUUUCUACCAAGAGCCCACUCACUCAAAGCAAUCAAAUGCUCUCAAAGAUUGGACAACAAUUUCCCUUAAUUUCCUUAUUUUCCAACUUACAAAACAUCACCAAUCACAUCUCAAUUCCACCACAUUCUCACAUACAAAUCAUAAGGUAUAAAACACACCUAAUUAGGGCUACAAUACCCUUAAAUCUUAACCAAUUAAGAGCUCAAUAACCAACCAUAAGAAAGCCCCAAAUUGGAAACCCUAAAACUGAAAGUUUCCGCACAAAUCUGAAAUUUUCCGCAAACAACCACAACUAACACACAAAGGCGCCAUUUGAUACCAUAUCAAGCUAUUAUUCCCUGACCAACCAACAAUUAUCAUAUAAAAUCAGAAAAUUCACUAAUAAAUCAGAAAUUUGUCAAACUCUACAUAAAAUCAUGAAAUCAUCCACAAAAUAACAUAUAUAACAUCUCUAAUCCACCAAUUAACAAUCACUUGAAAUAGAUAAGAAGUUCUUAGCAAGAUACCUUCAAACCUCAAGAAAAUUGGUAGCUUAGUGCUUCCUCCUCCAAAACAACUCCACCAAUAGCUUUAAACCUCCUUAGUGAGCACUUGUAUGGAAUAGAUUGCAAAACUAACGGUGAAAACUCAAGAUUUGGUGAAGAAAAUCAAAGGGAAAUAAAUGGAGUUUCUCUCUUGUUCUCCCUCUCAAAAAUGGUUCGGCCAAGCUAGAGAAAAGAAUGAAGAAAUUCAACCCAAAAGCAAGAUAAGAACGUUGAAAAACAGCCGGUCAAACCUGGCUGUUGAGGUGCCACGUCACAAUCCAGCCAAGAUUUGUACGAAUUUUCGGCCGGAUUCCAGGCCGGAUUGAGGACAGUGGCGAAAUUCAUAAUUUUUCAAAAUUCACCAACAAUCCGGCCAAGAACUGGCAGGAUUUGGUACUAACUUUUUCCACAAAAAAUUUUCUUUUCUUCUUCUUUUGAGGCUUCACAUACAUCUUUUGGAUGUAACUAAUCAAGCAUUGUUUUUACUCAUUAGCAAUGCUUCAUAAUUAAGGAAUUUAUAAAAUAAGCACAUAUAGGAUAGUCCUAUAAUUUUGUGUGCUUUUAUUUUAUUUUCUAUUUCUCAAAUUUCAAAUUUUCUUUCUUGUUUGAACACUUACAAAUGUAUCAAAUAUUGAUCCUUUAUCAACUAAAAAUGAACUUUAUAUUUGAUGAAUGGUUACCUAAUAAUGAGAUAAAUAUCUCUCACCAAUCAAAAAGAAUAGAAAAUAAUUCACAAAAGUUUAGUGUUAUAAUGAAACUCUUAUAGCAUCAAUAAUGGUUGAAUAAUCUGCUUUACUUAUGCAGUCUAUCUGAAAUAUUAUAGUCAAUAAAUCUAAAUUCUUUAAAGAUUUAUGAUUUGUCAACUCUUUAUUUCCUUAUAGAGAUAUAUCUCAAUCUCUUAUGCCAAAAUGUAAGGAGUUUCCUCAGUGAUAAACAUACUUGCUGCCAAUAUAAUUAUUGUAGUCAAGUGCAGUAUAUUACUCAAUUCAAUGGAUGGUAUUGAAAACUUUAGAAUUAAUAACUUCAAAAUCUACAACUGGAUAAUAAGGUUCAUAAUCAUACCCCAAUAGUAAUUAAUUUGAAAAUAGAAAUUCUAAAGUAAUAAGAAAAUAAUGUUUUAGAAAAAAAAAUAAAUUUUCUUGAAAUGAGCAAUAAUACAUCACUUAUUUUUAUGUGAACAUUUUUUAGUUUCUAUAAAGUAACUUUUAUUCAUUUUUCAUAUAAUUAGAAACUUAUUAUACUGGCAGCAUAAAUUGACAGUUUUAGCCAAUUCACCAAAUAUAUUACAAUUUGUAACACUCAACAAUUGAGACUUUUUUUUUUGAGUUACUUUCUUUUAAGGUAGAGUAUCAAAUAUCAUUCUCUUACAAACAACGCUGGUCUUUAUUGUUGUUUGACUCAAUGAGAACAAAAUUACCUUUCUUUCCAUUUCUUCUUUCAUGAAGGUUAAGUUUCUCUUAUUUCUUAACCUCUUUAUCUUUUCUUAAUACACAUGGUUAAAACAAGUAAUUAAUCAUAUAUCUUUAUGUGUAUUAUAAAAGUUUGAAUGGUUAAAAAAUUCUGUAUGAAAGAAUUAAGAAUGAAAUGCUAUAGAAAUAACUAAAUCUCAAUUUGAUGGGACUUUAAUUGAUGAUGCAGCAAAAUUCUCAACUCUAAGAAAUGAGCUAAAAUACACUUCAAUAGUUAAGUGUCACAAAAGAAAGCCUUCUAAUGGUGCUAGUUAAAACUUGCAACAACUUCUUUAUGGAUUUCAUGCAAGAUUUAAUUAUAAAUAAUUAGGGUUUGAACCCUAUUUUAUAUGAAUAUGAGACAAAAUGAGCAAACUAUUAAAUUGCUCCCAAUUCUCAUACUCAACCUCUAUAUAAGCAAAUAUAUCCAUAUUAUGAGAAUGGUUUGUUCAUUCUCAUGAAAUUGCUAAUUUAAAACUUGCACAAAAAACAAAAGAGAAUGAAUUUAAAAAUCAAGCUGAUAAGAACCAUAAAAUCAUUGGAAUGAAACACUGAAUUAGCAAUCAAGAACUAUAUCAUAAAAAAGUUAUGAAAUUUGUACCUUGAUUUUGAAUCAACCUUAUGUCAAUUCAAAUAGUAAAUUCAAACCUUUCUGUGGACAAAUGUUGCAAACAUGCAUAGAAUUUAUUUUACUUAAUCAUAAAACUAGUAAUUUAGAACAAUGAAUUAAAGAAAUAAUUCGUGCCUAUGGGCAUAGAAAUAUGUCUUAAUUAACUGUCUAAUUUACCAUCUUAUGUCAAUUAAUUUCAUCAAAAUAAUUACCUCCCUGUGGGGCCGGAUAACUAUCUCAAUGAAUUAAUUGCAACUUGAUAUAGAUGCCAUUUUUUAAAUUUCUUUAAUCACUCAACAAUAUGUGAAAAAGAAAUGCAAAAUUUCUCCAAACACCAAUAUACUUAAGAUGCUGUGGCUACGCCUAAGUAUACGGUGUUAUAAGAAAAAGUGUCAACUAGUCAAUAUGUUGACUAAAAAUUCAUCAUUUUAAUCGCCAAAUUGUGGCCCUGUUUGGAAUCUCAAGUUUUUUACAAGUUUGUAUGCUACUAGUUUUUUAACAACUUUUGCUACAGGAAUCCCAAAAAACUUCUCAAAGUUUUUUACCUACACACUUCAAAACACAAAAAAAAAAAAUUCCCUACCCUUUUCUUCUUCUUCCGUUGCCGACCACCACCUCCGGCUCCAGAACCGGCCUCGAUCACUUCUUCUGGUGCCGGUCUUCCUUUCUCCCUCUCUCCCUCUCCCCCUCUUCCUCUCCCACCAUCCUUACUUUCCACUCACAGAGUUUCUAAUCUACACACAGGACUUCAAAGCCAUAUGUGAGCCCACGAGUUCUAUAAAAGCUUGUUCAUUUAAUUAAACUGUAACAAUACAAAAUUGCAUUAGACUGAUCCCAUAAAAUUAUCCUUGCCAAGUUUGUAUGCAAAUCUACCUAUAGCACACGAAUUUGGGAAAGAAAUUCAAGAGAUGAAAGCCACUCUACAGUUAGAUUUCGGCCACACCAAUUACUUUUACCCGAUUUGAUGGCGGGGGUGGCGGAGGAGGGGGAGGAGAAGGGGAGAGGGACAAUUGUAAAAAAAAAAAAUUUCUGUACCUGAUCUGUGCGGCAAGAGGAGGAGAGGGAGAGAAAAAAUUAGAAAACAAAAAGUUGAGGAAAGGCUCCUCCAUCGCCAGCAGGUG